CCCCAAAUAGCUAAGUGGUAAAGAAUCUGCCUGCUAAUGCAGGAGCUGCAGGAGACCCAGGUUUGAUUCCUGGGUCGGGAA
Molecule: transfer RNA, 81 nt
Filed under: Ovis aries (sheep)
Lineage: Eukaryota; Metazoa; Chordata; Mammalia; Artiodactyla; Bovidae
Rfam family: tRNA
About the family: Transfer RNA (tRNA) molecules are approximately 80 nucleotides in length.
Source: Rfam by way of RNAcentral